This 73-nucleotide transfer RNA is filed under the name Vibrio ouci. RNAcentral's name for it is "Vibrio sp. BEI176 tRNA-Leu". It matches the Rfam family "tRNA". From Rfam's summary of the family: Transfer RNA (tRNA) molecules are approximately 80 nucleotides in length. Their secondary structure includes four short double-helical elements and three loops (D, anti-codon, and T loops). Lineage: Bacteria; Pseudomonadati; Pseudomonadota; Gammaproteobacteria; Vibrionales; Vibrionaceae. The record is from RNAcentral.
CGGAAGUGGCGGAAUUGGUAGACGCACCAGAUUUAGGCGCCGCAAGGUGUGAGAGUUCAAGUCUCUCCUUCCG